GACGAACCGUCCAAACGUUACUCGGAAUUACUGGGCUUAAAGGGUGCGUAGGCUGCGCGGAAAGUUGGGUGUGAAAUCCCUCGGCUCAACCGGGGGAGUGCAUCCAAAACUACCGUGCUCGAGGGAGACAGAGGUAAGCGGAACUCAAGGUGGAGCGGUGAAAUGCGUUGAUAUCUUGAGGAACACCGGUGGCGAAGGCGGCUUACUGGGUCUCUUCUGACGCUGAGGCACGAAAGCUAAGGUAGCAAACGGG
This 253-nucleotide ribosomal RNA is filed under the name uncultured bacterium. RNAcentral describes it as "partial 16S ribosomal RNA". It matches the Rfam family "Bacterial small subunit ribosomal RNA", at positions 524 to 776 of the family's 1533-position model. The record is from RNAcentral.